This 531-nucleotide ribosomal RNA is filed under the name uncultured bacterium. Its description in RNAcentral is "partial 16S ribosomal RNA". It matches the Rfam family "Bacterial small subunit ribosomal RNA", at positions 33 to 541 of the family's 1533-position model. The record is from RNAcentral.
AGUGAACGCUGGCGGUAGGCCUAACACAUGCAAGUCGAACGGCAGCACAGUAAGAGCUUGCUCUUACGGGUGGCGAGUGGCGGACGGGUGAGGAAUACAUCGGAAUCUACUUUUUCGUGGGGGAUAACGUAGGGAAACUUACGCUAAUACCGCAUACGACCUACGGGUGAAAGCAGGGGAUCUUCGGACCUUGCGCGAUUGAAUGAGCCGAUGUCGGAUUAGCUAGUUGGCGGGGUAAAGGCCCACCAAGGCGACGAUCCGUAGCUGGGCAGAGAGGAUGCCAACACACAAGGGACACGAGACACGGCCUCGACGCAUACGGGGGGGAGAUGUGGGGAAUGUUGGCCAAGGGGCCCAGGCCCAACCCAGCCAUACCGGGUGGGUGAAGAAGGCCUUGGGGUUGUAAAGCCGUUUUGUGGGAAAAGAAGAGCAGCAGGCUAAUCCCCCGCUGUUCUGACGGUACCCAAAGAAUAAGCACCGGCUACCGCCGUGCCAGCAGCCGCGGUAAUGAUCGAAAGCACACGUCUGAAC